Molecule: ribosomal RNA, 553 nt
Filed under: uncultured bacterium
Lineage: Bacteria
Description: partial 16S ribosomal RNA
Rfam family: Bacterial small subunit ribosomal RNA
Source: RNAcentral
UAGGGAAUCUUCCACAAUGGACGCAAGUCUGAUGGAGCAACGCCGCGUGAGCGAAGAAGGUUUUCGGACCGUAAAGCUCUGUUGUUGGUGAAGAAGGAUAGAGGUAGUAACUGGCCUUUAUUUGACGGUAAUCAACCAGAAAGUCACGGCUAACUACGUGCCAGCAGCCGCGGUAAUACGUAGGUGGCAAGCGUUGUCCGGAUUUAUUGGGCGUAAAGCGAGCGCAGGCGGAAGAAUAAGUCUGAUGUGAAAGCCCUCGGCUUAACCGAGGAAUUGCAUCGGAAACUGUUUUCUUGAGUGCAGAAGAGGAGAGUAGAACUCCAUGUGUAGCGGUGGAAUGCGUAGAUAUAUGGAAGAAUACCAGUGGCGAAGGCGGCUCUCUGGUCUGCAACUGACGCUGAGGCUCGAAAGCAUGGGUAGCGAACAGGAUUAGAUACCCUGGUAGUCCAUGCCGUAAACGAUGAGUGCUAAGUGUUGGGAGGCUUCCGCCUCUCAGUGCUGCAGCUAACGCAUUAAGCACUCCGCCUGGGGAGUACGACCGCAAGGUUGAAAC